GUGUUGCCUUAGUUUUGCAGGUGUCAGGCGCUGGAUGGCCAGUGAUUAGCGAGCGACAGUGGUAUGCGGCGAUGGGCAUGCGCCAGAGGCUGCGGCGCUGGAGGCUGACCCUGGCUAGGGUUUUUUCUUUUGCUGAAAUUUUUUAAAAAAUGUGGGCUGGUUAUUUUGGGCUUAGGGUUAAUGUGAUUUGGGCUAGACUUUGGGUUUUGGUCUAUUUGGGUUUGGGUUAUUUUAUUUGUAAUGGGCUGUUAACUCUUUUGGUUUAAUUUGGGCCCCGGUCAAAAUGGGUUUUUGCAGCUGCCCCUCUUUGCUUGUUGUCGUGUAACGAGAAUGCAACAAAGACUUUUAAUA
This 351-nucleotide long non-coding RNA is filed under the name Gossypium raimondii (Peruvian cotton). RNAcentral describes it as "long non-coding RNA (GRAI_LNC010339)". The record is from RNAcentral. Lineage: Eukaryota; Viridiplantae; Streptophyta; Magnoliopsida; Malvales; Malvaceae.